This 381-nucleotide ribosomal RNA is filed under the name Burkholderia sp. oral taxon 406. Its description in RNAcentral is "bacterial SSU rRNA". It matches the Rfam family "Bacterial small subunit ribosomal RNA", at positions 107 to 486 of the family's 1533-position model. Lineage: Bacteria; Pseudomonadati; Pseudomonadota; Betaproteobacteria; Burkholderiales; Burkholderiaceae. The record is from RNAcentral.
UGAGUAAUACAUCGGAACGUGCCCUGUAGUGGGGGAUAACUAGUCGAAAGAUUAGCUAAUACCGCAUACGACCUGAGGGUGAAAGUGGGGGACCGCAAGGCCUCAUGCUAUAGGAGCGGCCGAUGUCUGAUUAGCUAGUUGGUGAGGUAAAGGCUCACCAAGGCGACGAUCAGUAGCUGGUCUGAGAGGACGAUCAGCCACACUAGGACUGAGACACGGCCCAGACUCCUACGGGAGGCAGCAGUGGGGAAUUUUGGACAAUGGGGGCAACCCUGAUCCAGCAAUGCCGCGUGUGUGAAGAAGGCCUUCGGGUUGUAAAGCACUUUUGUCCGGAAAGAAAUCGCACUUACUAAUCUUAGGUGUGGGGACGUACCGAAGAUA